CUUGCUUCUCUUGAGAGCGGCGGACGGGUGAGUAAUGCCUAGGAAUCUGCCUGGUAGUGGGGGAUAACGUCCGGAAACGGACGCUAAUACCGCAUACGUCCUACGGGAGAAAGCAGGGGACCUUCGGGCCUUGCGCUAUCAGAUGAGCCUAGGUCGGAUUAGCUAGUUGGUGGGGUAAUGGCUCACCAAGGCGACGAUCCGUAACUGGUCUGAGAGGAUGAUCAGUCACACUGGAACUGAGACACGGUCCAGACUCCUACGGGAGGCAGCAGUGGGGAAUAUUGGACAAUGGGCGAAAGCCUGAUCCAGCCAUGCCGCGUGUGUGAAGAAGGUCUUCGGAUUGUAAAGCACUUUAAGUUGGGAGGAAGGGCAGUAAAUUAAUACUUUGCUGUUUUGACGUUACCGACAGAAUAAGCACCGGCUAACUCUGUGCCAGCAGCCGCGGUAAUACAGAGGGUGCAAGCGUUAAUCGGAAUUACUGGGCGUAAAGCGCGCGUAGGUGGUUCGUUAAGUUGGAUGUGAAAUCCCCGGGCUCAACCUGGGAACUGCAUUCAAAACUGACGAGCUAGAGUAUGGUAGAGGGUGGUGGAAUUUCCUGUGUAGCGGUGAAAUGCGUA
This 617-nucleotide ribosomal RNA is filed under the name uncultured bacterium. RNAcentral's name for it is "bacterial SSU rRNA". It matches the Rfam family "Bacterial small subunit ribosomal RNA", at positions 79 to 692 of the family's 1533-position model. The record is from RNAcentral.